UGACUAGCAACAUAUCACAAG
Molecule: small nuclear RNA, 21 nt
Filed under: Arabidopsis thaliana (thale cress)
Lineage: Eukaryota; Viridiplantae; Streptophyta; Magnoliopsida; Brassicales; Brassicaceae
Description: snRNA_13369
Source: RNAcentral